GACUUAUUGGGGGGCGGGGGGUAAUUUAGGUUCCCAAGAUAUGACUACCUUUUGUUGCUGGAAAACUUACUUCUUUCAACUUUGUUGCCUAAAAUUCAUGCAAUAUAUAGCUUAAUUCAUAACUUACCAAUCCUGUCAUGGUUGAAAAAUUAUUGUCACAGCUUACGAAGUUAUUCAGCUAUAAGGAUUUCAAAAACUAUUGGGAGGAGGUUGCCCAUCCCCCCCCCCCCCAUCCGCCACUGGUCUGCAGUACUGGAUGUAAAAAUGUGCAGUACUGAAAAUAUUUCCAGUAUUACAAAAAAGUGAUAUAGCAACGUCAAGAGGCAGGGGUUAUAUAUUCAGGCUCAUUUAAAAAUAGGCAGUUCUCAAAUUGAGAUUUGCUACCUUCUGAAAUAUUUAUACAAUAUCCAUAAAUAGCAUUUCACAAUCUUCAGAUUUCGAAAUCUCAAUGAAGGACCCUGCGACAAUUGUCAUAUUGUUAUCGAACUUUCCAAGGUAGAAUAUUUUUUAUAAGAAGUUUAUUUACAAAGAUUACAUAACUUAUCAUCUAACACUAGAUAUGACGUUUGAGAAUACGAUGAAAACAUUGAUCCUUAUUUAGGUUGCCACAGGCAACAGGUAAUAUUCAAAUGUGCAACUCAUCCACUGUUUUCAAUACAAAAACGCAACUCUACUGCAUGGAUAAACAUUUUCGCUCUAAACUCUUCUCCAGCUAAAGAUCUAGUUACUCAGGUCUAGUAUAUCUUGUGUUACUUGCGAAGGAAACAAGCGUGCUCAAAAGCACUCUUUUCUAAAGAUGCGAUUAAAUCAGUUACAUAAUCUGAAGGAAUCGAAGCUCUGAAGCACUUCAUCCCCAACUGACUGACUAGCACCCAGUUUUAGUUAAACACGCUCAAAUAUAUAUAGGGCGUAAGGUACACACUGUCUAAAAACAUUAUUAGUAUACAAAUUGAUAUCCUUGUUAUGUUUACUGGAUUAUCAAAGGACGCCUCAAGCCUCCUACUCAAAUAAAUAAUACGCCCUCGUGUUAAAAAUUGUUACAAUUGCAAGCGUUUGUCCAAUAGCAAUGCACCAUUAUAUUAUGCUUUAUUGACUGAAUGCUGCUCUGAACCGACAACGGGUAAACAACUUAAAAACGCGUUAGAAGUUUAUAUAUAGAGUUGAAGUUCUGAUUUAGUUUUCUUGAAAACAAUAUUGAGGACUUAAGCUCGUUGAAACUGUCAUUCCAUUAAGAACCAUUUCCAUUAAGAACCAUUCCCAUAGGAACAGAAAGAGAAGACUUCGAACAUGACACUGAAAAAGUUAACCAGAAAUCAUAAUGAUUCUCUUCAUCAAACUGUCACUGAUUAUGUCCUAAAGCAAACAUUAUAUAACGGUUUAGCUACUUCUAAAGCUUGAGAUUGAUAAGGGUACAACUAUUCCUCAAAAAUACAAGGAGAAUUUCGUCGUUUUAAGCGAAGGCCCUUCGGAAGUUUUUUUUUUUCAUGUAUACUUUCUUAUUAUUCAUGGCACUACCUUCACUGGCAAACUGACA
Paramuricea clavata is the source of this 1534-nucleotide non-coding RNA. Lineage: Eukaryota; Metazoa; Cnidaria; Anthozoa; Malacalcyonacea; Plexauridae. The record is from the annotation of a GenBank genome assembly.